GACAGAGGGUGCGAACGUUGCUCGGAAUUACGGGGCGUAAAGCGCGUGUAGGCGGGUGAUCAAGUCAGGUGUGAAAUCCCCAGGCUCAACCUGGGAACUGCACUUGAAACUGGUCGCCUUGAGUGUUGGAGAGGGAAGCGGAAUUCCUGGUGUAGAGGUGAAAUUCGUAGAUAUCAGGAGGAACACCGGUGGCGAAGGCGGCUUCCUGGACAAUUACUGACGCUGAGACGCGAAAGCGUGGGGAGCAAACAGG
This 253-nucleotide ribosomal RNA is filed under the name uncultured bacterium. RNAcentral's name for it is "partial 16S ribosomal RNA". It matches the Rfam family "Bacterial small subunit ribosomal RNA", at positions 524 to 776 of the family's 1533-position model. The record is from RNAcentral.